AGUGAACGCUGGCGGUAGGCCUAACACAUGCAAGUCGAACGGCAGCACAGUAAGUUCUUGCUCUUACGGUUGGCGAGUGUCGGACGGUUGAGGAAUACAUCGUAAUCUACUUUUUCGUGGGUGAUAACGUAGGGAAACUUACUCUAAUACCGCAUACUACCUACGGGUGAAAUCAUUGGAUCUUCUGACCUUUCGCGAUUGUAUUAGCCGAUGUCGGAUUAGCUAGUUGGCGGGGUAAAGGCCCACCAAGGCGACGAUCCGUAGCUGGUCUGAGAGGAUGAUCAGAGAAACUGGAACUGAGACACGGUCAAGAGUACUACGGGAGGAAGCAGUGGGGAAUAUUGGACAAUGGGGGCAAGCAUGAUACAGCAAGACCGCGUGGGUGAAGAAGGAGUUAGGGUUGUAAAGACAUUUUGUUGGGAAAGAAAAGAAGCAGGUUAAAAAAAAGAUGUAAUGACGGUACCAAAAGAAUAAGCACCGGCUAACUUCGUG
RNAcentral lists this ribosomal RNA (492 nucleotides) under uncultured bacterium. RNAcentral describes it as "partial 16S ribosomal RNA". It matches the Rfam family "Bacterial small subunit ribosomal RNA", at positions 29 to 507 of the family's 1533-position model. The record is from RNAcentral.